AAGACCCACAGGAUGGCAAGACUGGCCUUAUCAACCCUGUGCAAACCAGAGGACCUUUGCUAUCACUGGACCAACUGGCAGACGAAAAAACUCAGUAUAUCUCCCCUCUGCUCCCGCCUGGCUCCUCCAUCUACUUUCAGCAGGAUGGAUCUGAUCUCCUGUCAACUCUGCAGCCUUACAGCAUCUGGAACUCUCUGGUAGAGUCCACUGCAUCUUGUCAGCUGACCGGCUUGAAUAAUCUUCGUUCUCUGGGCACGACCUCAACUGUCAAACCAGCAAUCUGAUGGCAGUGGAAUCUGCAGUUUUGGAAUCUGCUGGACCUGCAGCUGUCAUACUCCUAGGCCUGGGUGCAGGCCGAUUUUCCUUUUUUUCCUCUCUGCAGGGCUGGAAUGGCAGGUUUUCUUCAUCAAGCUGAUUCCCACCUUUCUUAAGGAGCUGGAACCAGGAGGAGGGCGUCAGUUCGUUAAUGCUCCAGCGUGAACCCGGGAUCCCAAGCCUGAAACCACUCCAGAGACUUCUUUGCUCUCUGGACACCUGUCAGAGACUUAUCAGACAGCCUCAAGGAACCAGAGAGGCUACGGACCUCUAAACUAUUAAAGUCCUCCUGCCUGAGCUCGCCUGCCUGUCCACCUUCAGACACUACCAUCAGAUCUCACUCACCGGACCUGCACCAUUCGCCUGGACCACUGGUCACCAUCCUCCCAAGACAGACACCAAGCCGCGCUCUCUGUGAGUCACAUACAUCCCUCCCUUUUUAACCAGCAGCGAACUGUUGCUCACCUGUCUCCCAACUCUUCCAGCAGUAUCCAGAAAACCCUGCCUGCUGGAAUUUCACUCUGUACAGCCUCAAACCUUCAAUAAAACCCUUUAACUGA
Cyprinodon tularosa is the source of this 875-nucleotide long non-coding RNA. RefSeq lists it as uncharacterized. NCBI's taxonomy places the organism in Eukaryota, Metazoa, Chordata, Actinopteri, Cyprinodontiformes, Cyprinodontidae. The transcript has 4 exons. The record is from RefSeq and is a predicted model, not a curated record.